RNAcentral lists this non-coding RNA (950 nucleotides) under Paratilapia polleni (Pollen's cichlid). RNAcentral describes it as "12S rRNA". It matches the Rfam family "Bacterial small subunit ribosomal RNA". The record is from RNAcentral. Lineage: Eukaryota; Metazoa; Chordata; Actinopteri; Cichliformes; Cichlidae.
CAAAGGCUUGGUCCUGACUUUACUGUCAACUCUAACUAAACUUACACAUGCAAGUAUCCGCCCCCCUGUGAGAAUGCCCCACAGUUCCCCCUCCGGGAACAAGGAGCUGGUAUCAGGCACACCCUUCUGUAGCCCAUGACACCUUGCUUAGCCACACCCUCAAGGGAAUUCAGCAGUGAUAGACAUUAAGCCAUAAGUGAAAACUUGACUUAGUUAAAGCCACAAAGGGCCGGUAAAACUCGUGCCAGCCACCGCGGUUAUACGAGAGGCCCAAGUUGAUAGACACCGGCGUAAAGAGUGGUUUGGGACCACCCUAAAACUAAAGUCGAACACCUUCAGAACUGUUAUACGUUUACCGAAGGUAAGAAGCCCCACCACGAAAGUGACUUUAUCUUCCCCGACCCCACGAAAGCUGUGAAACAAACUGGGAUUAGAUACCCCACUAUGCCCAGCCCUAAACUUUGAUAGCGCCCUACACCCGCUAUCCGCCCGGGAACUACGAGCAUUAGCUUGAAACCCAAAGGACUUGGCGGUGCUUUAGAUCCACCUAGAGGAGCCUGUUCUAAAACCGAUAACCCCCGUUAAACCUCACCCUCUCUUGCUUUUCCCGCCUAUAUACCGCCGUCGUCAGCUUACCCUGUGAAGGGUUUAUAGUAAGCAGAAUUAGUACAACUCAAAACGUCAGGUCGAGGUGUAGCAUAUGAGAGGGGAAGAAAUGGGCUACAUUCCCUACCCCAGGGAAUACGAACAAUGCAAUGAAACGUGUAUUAGAAGGAGGAUUUAGUAGUAAGCAGAAAACAGAGUGUUCUACUGAAACUGGCCCUGAAGCGCGCACACACCGCCCGUCACUCUCCCCAAGCCACAACUCUACAAUAAAUAAUAAACUAAACCGGCAAAGGGGAGGCAAGUCGUAACAUGGUAAGUGUACCGGAAGGUGCACUUGGAAAAAC